CCACUCUUUUGCAGAAUUUUUUCCUAAUAUACAACCAGAAUAAUGGUUGUAUAUACCA
This is a regulatory RNA element of Callipepla squamata (scaled quail), 58 nucleotides long. It matches the Rfam family "Coronavirus 3' UTR pseudoknot". From Rfam's summary of the family: The mechanism of cis-regulation is unclear, but this element is postulated to function in the plus-strand. The seed alignment was expanded in 2020 by Eric Nawrocki. NCBI's taxonomy places the organism in Eukaryota, Metazoa, Chordata, Aves, Galliformes, Odontophoridae. The record is from Rfam.